UUAAGCGACUAAGCGUACACGGUGGAUGCCCUGGCAGUCAGAGGCGAUGAAGGACGUGCUAAUCUGCGAUAAGCGUCGGUAAGGUGAUAUGAACCGUUAUAACCGGCGAUUUCCGAAUGGGGAAACCCAGUGUGAUUCGUCACACUAUCAUUAACUGAAUCCAUAGGUUAAUGAGGCGAACCGGGGGAACUGAAACAUCUAAGUACCCCGAGGAAAAGAAAUCAACCGAGAUUCCCCCAGUAGCGGCGAGCGAACGGGGAGGAGCCCAGAGCCUGAAUCAGUGUGUGUGUUAGUGGAAGCGUCUGGAAAGGCGCGCGAUACAGGGUGACAGCCCCGUACACAAAAAUGCACAUGCUGUGAGCUCGAUGAGUAGGGCGGGACACGUGGUAUCCUGUCUGAAUAUGGGGGGACCAUCCUCCAAGGCUAAAUACUCCUGACUGACCGAUAGUGAACCAGUACCGUGAGGGAAAGGCGAAAAGAACCCCGGCGAGGGGAGUGAAAAAGAACCUGAAACCGUGUACGUACAAGCAGUGGGAGCACAGAGCAAUCUGUGUGACUGCGUACCUUUUGUAUAAUGGGUCAGCGACUUAUAUUCUGUAGCAAGGUUAACCGAAUAGGGGAGCCGAAGGGAAACCGAGUCUUAACUGGGCGUUAAGUUGCAGGGUAUAGACCCGAAACCCGGUGAUCUAGCCAUGGGCAGGUUGAAGGUUGGGUAACACUAACUGGAGGACCGAACCGACUAAUGUUGAAAAAUUAGCGGAUGACUUGUGGCUGGGGGUGAAAGGCCAAUCAAACCGGGAGAUAGCUGGUUCUCCCCGAAAGCUAUUUAGGUAGCGCCUCGUGAAUUCAUCUCCGGGGGUAGAGCACUGUUUCGGCAAGGGGGUCAUCCCGACUUACCAACCCGAUGCAAACUGCGAAUACCGGAGAAUGUUAUCACGGGAGACACACGGCGGGUGCUAACGUCCGUCGUGAAGAGGGAAACAACCCAGACCGCCAGCUAAGGUCCCAAAGUCAUGGUUAAGUGGGAAACGAUGUGGGAAGGCCCAGACAGCCAGGAUGUUGGCUUAGAAGCAGCCAUCAUUUAAAGAAAGCGUAAUAGCUCACUGGUCGAGUCGGCCUGCGCGGAAGAUGUAACGGGGCUAAACCAUGCACCGAAGCUGCGGCAGCGACACUGUGUGUUGUUGGGUAGGGGAGCGUUCUGUAAGCCUGUGAAGGUGUGCUGUGAGGCAUGACUGGAGGUAUCAGAAGUGCGAAUGCUGACAUAAGUAACGAUAAAGCGGGUGAAAAGCCCGCUCGCCGGAAGACCAAGGGUUCCUGUCCAACGUUAAUCGGGGCAGGGUGAGUCGACCCCUAAGGCGAGGCCGAAAGGCGUAGUCGAUGGGAAACAGGUUAAUAUUCCUGUACUUGGUGUUACUGCGAAGGGGGGACGGAGAAGGCUAUGUUGGCCGGGCGACGGUUGUCCCGGUUUAAGCGUGUAGGCUGGUUUUCCAGGCAAAUCCGGAAAAUCAAGGCUGAGGCGUGAUGACGAGGCACUACGGUGCUGAAGCAACAAAUGCCCUGCUUCCAGGAAAAGCCUCUAAGCAUCAGGUAACAUCAAAUCGUACCCCAAACCGACACAGGUGGUCAGGUAGAGAAUACCAAGGCGCUUGAGAGAACUCGGGUGAAGGAACUAGGCAAAAUGGUGCCGUAACUUCGGGAGAAGGCACGCUGAUAUGUAGGUGAAGUCCCUCGCGGAUGGAGCUGAAAUCAGUCGAAGAUACCAGCUGGCUGCAACUGUUUAUUAAAAACACAGCACUGUGCAAACACGAAAGUGGACGUAUACGGUGUGACGCCUGCCCGGUGCCGGAAGGUUAAUUGAUGGGGUCAGCGCAAGCGAAGCUCUUGAUCGAAGCCCCGGUAAACGGCGGCCGUAACUAUAACGGUCCUAAGGUAGCGAAAUUCCUUGUCGGGUAAGUUCCGACCUGCACGAAUGGCGUAAUGAUGGCCAGGCUGUCUCCACCCGAGACUCAGUGAAAUUGAACUCGCUGUGAAGAUGCAGUGUACCCGCGGCAAGACGGAAAGACCCCGUGAACCUUUACUAUAGCUUGACACUGAACAUUGAGCCUUGAUGUGUAGGAUAGGUGGGAGGCUUUGAAGUGUGGACGCCAGUCUGCAUGGAGCCGACCUUGAAAUACCACCCUUUAAUGUUUGAUGUUCUAACGUGGACCCGUGAUCCGGGUUGCGGACAGUGUCUGGUGGGUAGUUUGACUGGGGCGGUCUCCUCCUAAAGAGUAACGGAGGAGCACGAAGGUUGGCUAAUCCUGGUCGGACAUCAGGAGGUUAGUGCAAUGGCAUAAGCCAGCUUGACUGCGAGCGUGACGGCGCGAGCAGGUGCGAAAGCAGGUCAUAGUGAUCCGGUGGUUCUGAAUGGAAGGGCCAUCGCUCAACGGAUAAAAGGUACUCCGGGGAUAACAGGCUGAUACCGCCCAAGAGUUCAUAUCGACGGCGGUGUUUGGCACCUCGAUGUCGGCUCAUCACAUCCUGGGGCUGAAGUAGGUCCCAAGGGUAUGGCUGUUCGCCAUUUAAAGUGGUACGCGAGCUGGGUUUAGAACGUCGUGAGACAGUUCGGUCCCUAUCUGCCGUGGGCGCUGGAGAACUGAGGGGGGCUGCUCCUAGUACGAGAGGACCGGAGUGGACGCAUCACUGGUGUUCGGGUUGUCAUGCCAAUGGCACUGCCCGGUAGCUAAAUGCGGAAGAGAUAAGUGCUGAAAGCAUCUAAGCACGAAACUUGCCCCGAGAUGAGUUCUCCCUGACCCUUUAAGGGUCCUGAAGGAACGUUGAAGACGACGACGUUGAUAGGCCGGGUGUGUAAGCGCAGCGAUGCGUUGAGCUAACCGGUACUAAUGAACCGUGAGGCUUAACCUU
This 2904-nucleotide ribosomal RNA is filed under the name Escherichia coli B107. RNAcentral describes it as "bacterial LSU rRNA". It matches the Rfam family "Bacterial large subunit ribosomal RNA". The record is from RNAcentral. Lineage: Bacteria; Pseudomonadati; Pseudomonadota; Gammaproteobacteria; Enterobacterales; Enterobacteriaceae.